Molecule: ribosomal RNA, 491 nt
Filed under: uncultured soil bacterium
Lineage: Bacteria
Description: bacterial SSU rRNA
Rfam family: Bacterial small subunit ribosomal RNA
Source: RNAcentral
AGAUUGAACGCUGGCGGCAUGCCUUACACAUGCAAGUCGAACGGCGGCACGGGAGCAAUCCUGGUGGCGAGUGGCGAACGGGUGAGUAAUAUAUCGGAACGUGCCCAGUCGUGGGGGAUAACGCAGUGAAAGCUGUGCUAAUACCGCAUACGAUCUAUGGAUGAAAGCGGGGGACUCGCAAGAGCCUCGCGCGAUUGGAGCGGCCGAUAUCAGAUUAGCUAGUUGGUGAGGUAAAGGCUCACCAAGGCGACGAUCUGUAGCUGGUUUGAGAGGACGACCAGCCACACUGGGACUGAGACACGGCCCAGACUCCUACGGGAGCAGCAGUGGGAAUUUGGACAAGUGGGGAACCUGAUCCAGCCAUCCCGCGUGUGCGAUGAAGGCCUUCGGUUGUAAGUCACGUUUGUCGAGGAAGAAACGGCGUCGCCGUAAGUACGGACGUACGACUGACGGUACCUGACAGAAUAAGCACCGACUAACUACGUCGACCG